CCCCGUACAUGGCGCAGCACGCGCGAAAACUCCGCAGCGCGAAAGCGCGACGGGGUCAUUCUGAUCGCCGCCCGCUGAGGGUGGCUUUUGCCCAGUCCAAAAGGCUGGGCGAAUAAGGGGAGGGCAAGUUUGGUGUCAGCCGCCGCGGUAAUACCAACUCCCCGAGAGGUCGGGACGAUUAUAGGGGCUUAAAGCGUCCGUAGCCGGUCCAGUGUGUCUCUGGUCAAAUCCGGCGUCUCAAGCGCCGGACCGCCGGAGAUACUACCGGGCUAGGGAGCGGGAGAGGCGGGCGGUAUUCCCUGGGUAGGGGUGAAAUCCUAAGAUCCAGGGAGGACCAUCGGUGGCGAAGAGCGGCCCGCUAGAACGCGUCACUGACGGUGAGCGGACGAAAGCUCGGGGGAGCGAUCCGGAGUUAGAUACCCGGGUAGUCCCAGCGUGUAAACAGAUGCAGGCUAGGUGUGUGAACGCACUUAGAAAGCGUUCAUAGUGUGCCGAAGGGAAAACCGUUUAAGUGC
RNAcentral lists this ribosomal RNA (515 nucleotides) under uncultured vent archaeon. RNAcentral describes it as "bacterial SSU rRNA". It matches the Rfam family "Archaeal small subunit ribosomal RNA", at positions 319 to 824 of the family's 1478-position model. The record is from RNAcentral.